This 491-nucleotide ribosomal RNA is filed under the name uncultured bacterium. RNAcentral's name for it is "partial 16S ribosomal RNA". It matches the Rfam family "Bacterial small subunit ribosomal RNA", at positions 29 to 507 of the family's 1533-position model. The record is from RNAcentral.
GUGAACGCUGGCGGUAGGCCUAACACAUGCAAGUCGAACGGCAGCACAGUAAGAGCUUGCUCUUACGGGUGGCGAGUGGCGGACGGGUGAGGAAUACAUCGGAAUCUACUUUUUCGUGGGGGAUAACGUAGGGAAACUUACGCUAAUACCGCAUACGACCUACGGGUGAAAGCAGGGGAUCUUCGGACCUUGCGCGAUUGAAUGAGCCGAUGUCGGAUUAGCUAGUUGGCGGGGUAAAGGCCCCCCAAGGCGACGAUCCGUAGCUGGUCUGAGAGGAUGAUCAGCCACACUGGAACUGAGACACGGUCCAGACUCCUACGGGAGGCAGCAGUGGGGAAUAUUGGACAAUGGGCGCAAGCCUGAUCCAGCCAUACCGCGUGGGUGAAGAAGGCCUUCGGGUUGUAAAGCCCUUUUGUUGGGAAAGAAAAGCAGCAGGUUAAUACCCCGCUGUUCUGACGGUACCCAAAGAAUAAGCACCGGCUAACUUCGUG